Molecule: ribosomal RNA, 721 nt
Filed under: Rothia koreensis
Lineage: Bacteria; Bacillati; Actinomycetota; Actinomycetes; Micrococcales; Micrococcaceae
Description: bacterial SSU rRNA
Rfam family: Bacterial small subunit ribosomal RNA
Source: RNAcentral
GCUGAAGCUGGGUGCUUGCACCUGGUGGAUGAGUGGCGAACGGGUGAGUAAUACGUGAGUGACCUUCCUUGGACUCUGGGAUAAGCCCGGGAAACUGGGUCUAAUACCGGAUACGACCAGUCCUCGCAUGGGGUGCUGGUGGAAAGGGUUUGUACUGGUUCUUGAUGGGCUCACGUCCUAUCAGCUUGUUGGUGAGGUAAUGGCUUACCAAGGCGACGACGGGUAGCCGGCCUGAGAGGGUGACCGGCCACACUGGGACUGAGACACGGCCCAGACUCCUACGGGAGGCAGCAGUGGGGAAUAUUGCACAAUGGGCGCAAGCCUGAUGCAGCGACGCCGCGUGGGGGAUGACGGCCUUCGGGUUGUAAACCUCUUUCAGCAGGGAAGAAGCGAAAGUGACGGUACCUGCAGAAGAAGCGCCGGCUAACUACGUGCCAGCAGCCGCGGUAAUACGUAGGGCGCAAGCGUUGUCCGGAAUUAUUGGGCGUAAAGAGCUCGUAGGCGGUUUGUCGCGUCUGCUGUGAAAGCCCGGGGCUCAACCCCGGGUGUGCAGUGGGUACGGGCAGGCUGGAGUGCAGUAGGGGAGACUGGAAUUCCUGGUGUAGCGGUGAAAUGCGCAGAUAUCAGGAGGAACACCGAUGGCGAAGGCAGGUCUCUGGGCUGUUACUGACGCUGAGGAGCGAAAGCAUGGGGAGCGAACAGGAUUAGAUACCCUGGUAGU